This 566-nucleotide ribosomal RNA is filed under the name Hesperomyces virescens. RNAcentral describes it as "SSU rRNA". It matches the Rfam family "Eukaryotic small subunit ribosomal RNA", at positions 333 to 903 of the family's 1831-position model. The record is from RNAcentral. Lineage: Eukaryota; Fungi; Ascomycota; Laboulbeniomycetes; Laboulbeniales; Laboulbeniaceae.
GUAGUGUCCUCGCAUGCUUUUGACGGGUAACGGGGAAUUAGGGUUCGACUCCGGAGAGGGAGCCUGAGAAACGGCUACCACAUCCAAGGAAGGCAGCAGGCGCGCAAAUUACCCAAUCCCGAUACGGGGAGGUAGUGACAAGAAAUACCGAUUCAGGAUCUUAUUGGAUCUUGAGAUUGGAAUGAGUACAAUUCAAACCCAUUAACGAGGAACAACUAGAGGGCAAGUCUGGUGCCAGCAGCCGCGGUAAUUCCAGCUCUAGUAGCGUAUAUUAAAAUUGUUGCAGUUAAAACGCUCGUAGUUGAACUUUGGGCUUGGCUGGCUGGUCCGCCUCACCGCGAGCACUGGUCCGGCUGGGCCUUUCCUCUUGGGGAUCCACAUGCCCUUCACUUGGGUGUGUUGGGGAACCAGGACUUUUACUUUGAAAAAAUUAGGGUGUUCAAAGCAGGCAUUUGCUCGAAUACAUUAGCAUGGGAUAAUAGAAUAGGACGUGUGGUCUUAUUUUGUUGGUUUCUAGGACCGCCGUAAUGAUUGAUAGGGAUAGUUGGGGGCAUCGGUAUUCAAUU